Molecule: long non-coding RNA, 2828 nt
Organism: Felis catus (domestic cat)
Lineage: Eukaryota; Metazoa; Chordata; Mammalia; Carnivora; Felidae
Exons: 5
Source: RefSeq, a predicted model, not a curated record
GUGGUACGUAAUUUGGUAUGACUGUAUCCAUUGUCAAGGAGCAGUGUGGGAUAGUGACAAGAGCUGAAGCUUCCACACCAGGGAAAUCUGGGUCCAGAUGCUGCCUAAGGCAUUAGCACUCUCUGUGCCCUUGGGCUCUACAGAUGCAUCAUCAAGGUCAAGGGAGUUGCCACUUGUAACUUAGAACAACAUAGCAUUGUCGUCUGUUUAAAUCCCUCUUCAGGGAUGAUACCCUCCCAUCUAUUCAUUCUGCAAGAUUCUAGAAUCUUAGACAACAUUCUAUCAAGUAGAACCUUCUGCAUUUCAUUUUGGCCUUAUUCACUGAAAAUUAUGGAGUCCAAAGCUUUCGUUUGUACUGCUUCUAUAUAUACCUCCAGGGCAAGAAAAUGGAUGAGAAGAAUGGUUAUCUUAUAGCUUUUCAAACAGAAACUCAUUACAAUCUCAGUUAAUGAAGCAUGGAAAAUCAAAAUCAAAGCAUCAGCAUUUACUACCUCCUAGAUGCCUGGAACUUUUCAAAGUGAAUUACAGAGCAGAUUCACACCCUUUAAAGAAUUUGUAAAUUCAGAAACGGCUGGGAGCAGGUGAGUAUUUCUGCAAAAUUUGAGAGGUGUGGAUCUAUGACCGAGGAAGCAAGGACUGUGGCAUCCCCAGAAGCUUUCCUUUUGAAUCAGGAGCUGCUUUGACCAGGACUUGCGUGGUAUAGUGUUCGCAGAAGCACGGAUGGCCACGGACCUCUAUCCUAUUAUUUACUCUUAUUACUUCCUGGUGUUGGCACUUCCGCAGAAAAUGUUGACGCGUGACAUCAAAGGCAAAGAGGAGAUCCGCAAUCCCUAGUUCCUUCCCUGCUCCUCCUAAGCUGAGGGAAGCGAGCGUGGGGAAAACGUGCAAAUAUCAAGGAGCAAAAUCAAAACAGCCAAGUUCAUUUGGGGCGGCGUACGUGAUUCAAAGCGUGGUGAACAUCCGCGGCGAGGUCUUGCCGAAUUACUUCUAUGAGAAGGCACGAUGCAGUCGCUGGGAGCUGGGGCUCUGGUGCUAGACCCCAGCGUGGCCAACUUGUAUCCUUGGGCUCGGCCGGCUUCAGGACACAGCACAGGAGCGGAAUGCUGAACCAGGGCUUAUGGCAUAUGAAUUGCAACAUUUCCAUAUUUUUCCUGCACAAACAGCCGGGACCAGAUUGUAUACACAUUUCAGGAUCAACAAGAGUGUUUGUAGACUAUUGAAAGGUGGAUUUAUAUAUAAGACUUAUUUCCCAUUGAAGACAUCAGAUUGGAGUCUUCUGAUGAAGACAUCAGAUUCGAACUGACAGCGCAGAGCCCGACACGGGGCUCGAACUCAUGGACCGCAAGAUCAUGACCUGAGCCGAAGUCGGAUGCCCAACCUACUGAGCCACUCAGAGGGAAGAAUGGCUGUUUGCCAACAGCUACUGACACUGGGGUCCAGCUAAGGUCGCGGUUCUUCAGCUGUGAUGUGGGUGCCCUAUGUGUUCUGCAUCCCGGACAUCCACCUGUAGCCCUCAUGGGACUUGGGGGGUGAGGGAACCAAUUCCAACAAGAAGCUCCCGCUGUAUGCUGGGUCUGGAGAAAUACACUAAGUCCACGAAAUGGGUGCCGUCUUUUUGGCCAAGACGACGGAAGGGUGACAAGUCCCCACACCCCUUCUGUGCCACUGUUUAGGAACUGUAAGCCUGUUCAUGACUCCAUUGUGAAGCCCCUUUUUAUUUAUUUAGCCAACUUUCUAUAUUUUAUGUUUGUAGCAAUUCUUUAUACACUGUGUAUACAAGACCUCUGCCAUUUAAAUGUGAUGCCAUAUGGUCGUGUUUGGAGAUACACAAGCAGAAAUAUUGUUUUAGAGUAUGGUAUUUAGAGACAAAAGGACACAGAUCAUAAGUGUACAUCUUUUUUUUAAAGUUUAUUUAUUUUUAGAGAGAGAGAGAGAGAGAGAAUCCCAAGCAGGCUCCCUGCUGCUGGCACAGAGCCCACUGUGGGGCUUGAACCCACAAACUGGGAGAUCAUGACCUGAGCCGAAAUAAAGAGUUGGACCCUUAACCAACUGAGCCACCCAAACACCCCCUUAAGUGUACAUCUUGACAAAUAUCACAAAGUGAAUAUGUCCAAGUACUGUCCAAGAAAUAGACCAUUAGUAGCGCCUCAGAGGCCUGCUCAAGCCCCUACAACCUACAGGCGGCCCCUCUCCUGACUCCUAAUGCCACAGGUUAGGUGGACCUGUUUUGAGCUUUAUAUACUUGGAGCCAUUCAGUGUGUUUCCUUUUGUAUCUCGUUCAUUUGGUUCAUGUUAUUGUUUGUAAGUUUCCUAUAACACACUGUUCUAUGUGGUUCUAUUUCAUUCACUCUCAUUGCUACAUGGAAUUCCAUUGUAGGACUGCCACCACUUAAUUAUUUAUUCCACUGUUUGUGGUCACUUCCAUUGUUUACAUUUGGGACUAUAAAGAACAACACUGCCGUGAAUGUUCUUUGAUGCACAUGUUACAUGCAGUUCUGUUGGCUGUAAUUUUAGGAGAUAAUGCAGAAUAGGUUCUACAAUGGCUGUACCAGAUUAUAUUCCUACCAGAGCGUAUGAGUGUUUCUGUCCCUCCCACACACGGCACGGUUCUUCCAUUUCAACUUUAAAACCAGCCUAAGUUCCAACAAUCACACACAGGUCCACGUAGAAUACACGCAUCAUUUAAACUUUGCACGGAACUUGCUGCUCUCUGUCUCCAUCUCUGUAGGAUCAGUGUAAUCAGUAUUUGUUUUAAAAUACUUAAAUUCUGGGGCACCUGGGUGGCUCAGUUGAUUGAGCUUCUGACUUCGAUUCAGGUCAUGAUCUCU